Notechis scutatus (mainland tiger snake) is the source of this 182-nucleotide non-coding RNA. The record is from RefSeq and is a predicted model, not a curated record. NCBI's taxonomy places the organism in Eukaryota, Metazoa, Chordata, Lepidosauria, Squamata, Elapidae.
AGGCGGGUCAAUUCCUUGGGGCCAUUUGGUCACAUGGAAGGUGCUAAGGCAGGGGUCCCCAACCUUGGCCACUUGAAGACUUGUGGACUUCAACUCCCAAGGCGUCUCAUCUUUUCAGCUUGUCCCAAGCGGAGUUUGUGGGUUCAGAAAUUGCCUGACAUCCUCUUCGUCUGCCACAACUG